This 460-nucleotide ribosomal RNA is filed under the name uncultured bacterium. RNAcentral's name for it is "partial 16S ribosomal RNA". It matches the Rfam family "Bacterial small subunit ribosomal RNA", at positions 338 to 795 of the family's 1533-position model. The record is from RNAcentral.
CCUACGUGUGGCAGCAGUGAGGAAUAUUGGUCAAUGGACGAGAGUCUGAACCAGCCAAGUAGCGUGAAGGAUGACUGCCCUCUGGGUUGUAAACUUCUUUUAUAUGGGAAUAAAAUGUUCCACGUGUGGGAUUUUGUAUGUAUCACAUGAAUAAGGCUCGGCUAACUUCGCGGCAGGUGCCGCGGUAAUACGGAGGAUCCGAGCGUUAUCCGGAUUUAUUGGGUGUAAAGGGCGCGUAGGUGGAUUCUUAAGUCAGUUGUGAAAGUUUCCGGCUCAACCGUAAAAUUGCAGUUGAAACUGGCAGUCUUGAGUACAGUAGAGGUGGGCGGAAUUCGUGGUGUAGCGGUGAAAUGCUUAGAGAUCACGAAGAACUCCGAUUGCGAAGGCAGCUCACUGGACUGCAACUGACACUGAGGCUCGAAAGUGUGGGUAUCAAACAGGAUUAGAUACCCCUGUAGUC